UACGUAGGGUGCGAGCGUUAAUCGGAAUUACUGGGCGUAAAGCGUGCGCAGGCGGUUUUGUAAGCCAGAUGUGAAAUCCCCGGGCUUAACCUGGGAAUGGCAUUUGGGACUGCAAGGCUGGAGUGCGGCAGAGGAGACUGGAAUUCCUGGUGUAGCAGUGAAAUGCGUAGAUAUCUGGAGGAACACCGGUGGCGAAGGCGGCAUCCUGGACCAACACUGACACUGAGGAGCGAAAGCCAGGGAGCAAAGCGGG
RNAcentral lists this ribosomal RNA (253 nucleotides) under uncultured bacterium. RNAcentral describes it as "partial 16S ribosomal RNA". It matches the Rfam family "Bacterial small subunit ribosomal RNA", at positions 524 to 777 of the family's 1533-position model. The record is from RNAcentral.